CCCAGACUCCUACGGGAGGCAGCAGUCGAGAAUCAUUCACAAUGGGGGAAACCCUGAUGGUGCGACGCCGCGUGGGGGAAUGAAGGUCUUCGGAUUGUAAACCCCUGUCAUGUGGGAGCAAAUUAAAAAGAUAGUACCACAAGAGGAAGAGACGGCUAACUCUGUGCCAGCAGCCGCGGUAAUACAGAGGUCUCAAGCGUUGUUCGGAAUCACUGGGCGUAAAGCGUGCGUAGGCUGUUUCGUAAGUCGUGUGUGAAAGGCGCGGGCUCAACCCGCGGACGGCACAUGAUACUGCGAGACUAGAGUAAUGGAGGGGGAACCGGAAUUCUCGGUGUAGCGGUGAAAUGCGUAGAUAUCAGGAGGAACAUCGGUGGCGAAAGCGCUUUACUGGACCAUUAUUGACGCUGAGGAACGAAAGCCAGGGGAGCAAAUGGGAUUAGAUACCCCUGUA
RNAcentral lists this ribosomal RNA (451 nucleotides) under uncultured bacterium. Its description in RNAcentral is "bacterial SSU rRNA". It matches the Rfam family "Bacterial small subunit ribosomal RNA", at positions 330 to 792 of the family's 1533-position model. The record is from RNAcentral.